Molecule: ribosomal RNA, 120 nt
Filed under: Papio anubis (olive baboon)
Lineage: Eukaryota; Metazoa; Chordata; Mammalia; Primates; Cercopithecidae
Source: RNAcentral
GUCUACCACCAUACCACUCUGAACGUGCCCGAUCUCAUCUGAUCUCGUGAAGCUAAGCAGGGUCAGGUCUGGUUAAUACUUGGAUGGGAGACCCACUGGCAGUACCAGGUUCCAUAGGCU